AUUGAACGCUGGCGGCAUGCCUUACACAUGCAAGUCGAACGGUAACAGGUCUUCGGAUGCUGACGAGUGGCGAACGGGUGAGUAAUACAUCGGAACGUGCCCGAUCGUGGGGGAUAACGAGGCGAAAGCUUUGCUAAUACCGCAUACGAUCUACGGAUGAAAGCGGGGGAUCUUCGGACCUCGCGCGGACGGAGCGGCCGAUGGCAGAUUAGGUAGUUGGUGGGAUAAAAGCUUACCAAGCCGACGAUCUGUAGCUGGUCUGAGAGGAUGAUCAGCCACACUGGGACUGAGACACGGCCCAGACUCCUGCGGGAGGCAGCAGUGGGGAAUUUUGGACAAUGGGCGAAAGCCUGAUCCAGCCAUGCCGCGUGCAGGAUGAAGGCCUUCGGGUUGUAAACUGCUUUUGUACGGAACGAAAAGCCUCUUUCUAAUAAAGAGGGGUCAUGACGGUACCGUAAGAAUAAGCACCGGCUAACUACGUG
This 482-nucleotide ribosomal RNA is filed under the name uncultured bacterium. Its description in RNAcentral is "partial 16S ribosomal RNA". It matches the Rfam family "Bacterial small subunit ribosomal RNA", at positions 30 to 507 of the family's 1533-position model. The record is from RNAcentral.